UUAAAUUGAAGAGUUUGAUCAUGGCUCAGAUUGAACGCUGGCGGCAGGCCUAACACAUGCAAGUCGAACGGUAACAGGAAGCAGCUUGCUGCUUUGCUGACGAGUGGCGGACGGGUGAGUAAUGUCUGGGAAACUGCCUGAUGGAGGGGGAUAACUACUGGAAACGGUGGCUAAUACCGCAUAACGUCGCAAGACCAAAGAGGGGGACCUUCGGGCCUCUUGCCAUCAGAUGUGCCCAGAUGGGAUUAGCUUGUUGGUGAGGUAACGGCUCACCAAGGCGACGAUCCCUAGCUGGUCUGAGAGGAUGACCAGCCACACUGGAACUGAGACACGGUCCAGACUCCUACGGGAGGCAGCAGUGGGGAAUAUUGCACAAUGGGCGCAAGCCUGAUGCAGCCAUGCCGCGUGUAUGAAGAAGGCCUUCGGGUUGUAAAGUACUUUCAGCGGGGAGGAAGGUGUUGUGGUUAAUAACCGCAGCAAUUGACGUUACCCGCAGAAGAAGCACCGGCUAACUCCGUGCCAGCAGCCGCGGUAAUACGGAGGGUGCAAGCGUUAAUCGGAAUUACUGGGCGUAAAGCGCACGCAGGCGGUCUGUCAAGUCGGAUGUGAAAUCCCCGGGCUCAACCUGGGAACUGCAUUCGAAACUGGCAGGCUUGAGUCUUGUAGAGGGGGGUAGAAUUCCAGGUGUAGCGGUGAAAUGCGUAGAGAUCUGGAGGAAUACCGGUGGCGAAGGCGGCCCCCUGGACAAAGACUGACGCUCAGGUGCGAAAGCGUGGGGAGCAAACAGGAUUAGAUACCCUGGUAGUCCACGCCGUAAACGAUGUCUACUUGGAGGUUGUGCCCUUGAGGCGUGGCUUCCGGAGCUAACGCGUUAAGUAGACCGCCUGGGGAGUACGGCCGCAAGGUUAAAACUCAAAUGAAUUGACGGGGGCCCGCACAAGCGGUGGAGCAUGUGGUUUAAUUCGAUGCAACGCGAAGAACCUUACCUGGUCUUGACAUCCACAGAACUUUCCAGAGAUGGACUGGUGCCUUCGGGAACUGUGAGACAGGUGCUGCAUGGCUGUCGUCAGCUCGUGUUGUGAAAUGUUGGGUUAAGUCCCGCAACGAGCGCAACCCUUAUCCUUUGUUGCCAGCGGUUAGGCCGGGAACUCAAAGGAGACUGCCAGUGAUAAACUGGAGGAAGGUGGGGAUGACGUCAAGUCAUCAUGGCCCUUACGACCAGGGCUACACACGUGCUACAAUGGCGCAUACAAAGAGAAGCGACCUCGCGAGAGCAAGCGGACCUCAUAAAGUGCGUCGUAGUCCGGAUUGGAGUCUGCAACUCGACUCCAUGAAGUCGGAAUCGCUAGUAAUCGUGGAUCAGAAUGCCACGGUGAAUACGUUCCCGGGCCUUGUACACACCGCCCGUCACACCAUGGGAGUGGGUUGCAAAAGAAGUAGGUAGCUUAACCUUCGGGAGGGCGCUUACCACUUUGUGAUUCAUGACUGGGGUGAAGUCGUAACAAGGUAACCGUAGGGGAACCUGCGGUUGGAUCACCUCCUUACCUUAAAGAAGC
Molecule: ribosomal RNA, 1556 nt
Filed under: Salmonella enterica
Lineage: Bacteria; Pseudomonadati; Pseudomonadota; Gammaproteobacteria; Enterobacterales; Enterobacteriaceae
Also listed under: 2 other names
Description: bacterial SSU rRNA
Rfam family: Bacterial small subunit ribosomal RNA
Source: RNAcentral